UACGUAGGGUGCAAGCGUUGUCCGGAAUUAUUGGGCGUAAAGAGCUUGUAGGCGGUUUGUCGCGUCUGCUGUGAAAUUUCGGGGCUCAACCCCGAACUUGCAGUGGGUACGGGCAGACUAGAGUGUGGUAGGGGAGACUGGAAUUCCUGGUGUAGCGGUGAAAUGCGCAGAUAUCAGGAGGAACACCGAUGGCGAAGGCAGGUCUCUGGGCCAUAACUGACGCUGAGAAGCGAAAAGCAUGGGGAGCGAACAGG
RNAcentral lists this ribosomal RNA (254 nucleotides) under uncultured bacterium. RNAcentral describes it as "partial 16S ribosomal RNA". It matches the Rfam family "Bacterial small subunit ribosomal RNA", at positions 524 to 776 of the family's 1533-position model. The record is from RNAcentral.